This 445-nucleotide ribosomal RNA is filed under the name bacterium AE2006. RNAcentral describes it as "bacterial SSU rRNA". It matches the Rfam family "Bacterial small subunit ribosomal RNA", at positions 28 to 455 of the family's 1533-position model. The record is from RNAcentral.
GAUGAACGCUGGCGGCGUGCUUAACACAUGCAAGUCGAACGAAGCACUUUAUUUGAAACCUUCGGGUAGAUUAUUCUGUGACUUAGUGGCGGACGGGUGAGUAACGCGUGGGUAACCUGCCUCAUACACCGGGAUAACAGUUGGAAACGGCUGCUAAUACCGGAUAAGCAUACAGUACCGCAUGGUACAGUGUGAAAAACUCAGGUGGUAUGAGAUGGACCCGCGUCUGAUUAGCUAGUUGGUAAGGUAACGGCUUACCAAGGCGACGAUCAGUAGCCGACUUGAGAGAGUGAUCGGCCACAUUGGGACUGAGACACGGCCCAAACUCCUACGGGAGGCAGCAGUGGGGAAUAUUGCACAAUGGGGGAAACCCUGAUGCAGCGACGCCGCGUGAAGGAUGAAGUAUUUCGGUAUGUAAACUUCUAUCAGCAAGGAAGAAAAUGAC